Molecule: ribosomal RNA, 478 nt
Filed under: uncultured bacterium
Lineage: Bacteria
Description: partial 16S ribosomal RNA
Rfam family: Bacterial small subunit ribosomal RNA
Source: RNAcentral
GACGAACGCUGGCGGCGUGCUUAACACAUGCAAGUCGAACGGUAAGGCCCUUCGGGGUACACGAGUGGCGAACGGGUGAGUAACACGUGGGUGAUCUGCCCUGCACUUCGGGAUAAGCCUGGGAAACUGGGUCUAAUACCGGAUAGGACUCCUGCCUGCAUGGGUGGGGGUGGAAAGCUUUUGUGGCGUGGGAUGGGCCCGCGGCCUAUCAGCUUGUUGGUGGGGUGAUGGCCUACCAAGGCGACGACGGGUAGCCGGCCUGAGAGGGUGACCGGCCAGACUGGGACUGAGAUACGGCCCAGACUCCUGCGGGAGGCAGCAGUGGGGAAUAUUGCACAAUGGGCGCAAGCCUGAUGCAGCGACGCCGCGUGAGGGAUGACGGCCUUCGGGUUGUAAACCUCUUUCAGCACAGACGAAGCGCAAGUGACGGUAUGUGCAGAAGAAGGACCGGCCAACUACGUGCCAGCCGCCGCCGUAA